GGAGGGGGGGACGGUUUAUUNAAAUUUCUGCCCUAUCAACUUUNGAUGGNNAGGUAUUGGCUUACCAUGGUUUCAACGGGUAACGGGGAAUUAGGGUUCGAUUCCGGAGAGGGAGCCUGAGAAACGGCUACCACAUCCAAGGAAGGCAGCAGGCGCGCAAAUUACCCAAUCCCGACACGGGGAGGUAGUGACAAUAAAUACUGAUACAGGGCUCUUUUGGGUCUUGUAAUUGGAAUGAGUACAAUUUAAACCUCUUAACGAGGAACAAUUGGAGGGCAAGUCUGGUGCCAGCAGCCGCGGUAAUUCCAGCUCCAAUAGCGUAUAUUAAAGUUGUUGCAGUUAAAAAGCUCGUAGUUGAAACUUGGGUCUGGCUGGCAGGUCCGCCUCACCGCGUGUACUUGUCCGGCCGGGCCUUCCUUCUGGAGAACCUCAUGCCCUUCACUGGGCGUGUUGGGGACCAGGACUUUUACUUUGAAAAAAUUAGAGUGUUCAAAGCAGGCCUUUGCUCGAAUACGUUAGCAUGGAAUAAUAGAAUAGGACGUGCGGUUCUAUUUUGUUGGUUUCUAGGACCGCCGUAAUGAUUAAUAGGGACAGUCGGGGGCAUCAGUAUUCAAUUGUCAGAGGUGAAAUUCUUGGAUUUAUUGAAAACUAACUACUGCGAAAGCAUUUUGCCAAGGAUGUUUUCAUUAAUCA
This 693-nucleotide ribosomal RNA is filed under the name cf. Cucurbitaria sp. 785/LP2. RNAcentral's name for it is "SSU rRNA". It matches the Rfam family "Eukaryotic small subunit ribosomal RNA", at positions 280 to 979 of the family's 1831-position model. Lineage: Eukaryota; Fungi; Ascomycota; Dothideomycetes; Pleosporales. The record is from RNAcentral.